This 132-nucleotide small nucleolar RNA is filed under the name Prolemur simus (greater bamboo lemur). RNAcentral describes it as "Small nucleolar RNA SNORA51 (ENSPSMG00000022227.1)". It matches the Rfam family "Small nucleolar RNA SNORA51". Rfam says of the family: ACA51 is a member of the H/ACA class of snoRNA that guide the sites of modification of uridines to pseudouridines. Lineage: Eukaryota; Metazoa; Chordata; Mammalia; Primates; Lemuridae. The record is from Rfam by way of RNAcentral.
GGCCUCCCAGUGCUUGCCACAGGCCGUGUUCUCACACUAGCUGCACAGACGGAGACGGCAGAGUGAAGCUACCCCAUAUGCAUCCCAGCCCAGGCCCUGUGCCUGGUCUGUAUUGUCAAUGGGGGAACAUGG